GCUGCAGUGCCAUCGACAUAAUAGUAUAGGUUAUACAUAGGUUAAUAAACCAAAAACUUUUUUGAAUUUUGAAAAGUUUUUGAAUUUUGAUACUAUAGCACUUUCAUUUUUAUUUGAUAAAUAUUAUCCAAUCAUGAACUAACUAGGCUAAAAAGAUUCGUCUCGUGAUUUACAGAUAUGUGCCGCAAGAUUCGAUGUGAUGAGAAAUCUUAAAAAAAAAAUUGGUUUUUAGGUGAACUAAACAAAGCCAUAGAUAGAUAUUAGAGAUAAUAGCCAUA
RNAcentral lists this long non-coding RNA (278 nucleotides) under Sorghum bicolor (sorghum). RNAcentral describes it as "long non-coding RNA (SBIC_LNC011733)". Lineage: Eukaryota; Viridiplantae; Streptophyta; Magnoliopsida; Poales; Poaceae. The record is from RNAcentral.